RNAcentral lists this ribosomal RNA (465 nucleotides) under uncultured bacterium. Its description in RNAcentral is "partial 16S ribosomal RNA". It matches the Rfam family "Bacterial small subunit ribosomal RNA", at positions 28 to 507 of the family's 1533-position model. The record is from RNAcentral.
GACGAACGCUGGCGGCGUGCUUAACACAUGCAAGUCGAACGGAAAGGCCCCUUUGGGGGUACUCGAGUGGCGAACGGGUGAGUAACACGUGAGUAACCUGCCCUUGACUUCGGGAUAACUUCAGGAAACUGGGGCUAAUACCGGAUAGGAAUCCUUGCUGCAUGGUGGGGGUUGGAAAGCUUCGGCGGUUUUGGAUGGACUCGCGGCUUAUCAGCUUGUUGGUGGGGUAGUGGCUUACCAAGGCUUUGACGGGUAGCCGGCCUGAGAGGGCGACCGGCCACAUUGGGACUGAGAUACGGCCCAGACUCCUACGGGAGGCAGCAGUGGGGAAUAUUGCACAAUGGGCGGAAGCCUGAUGCAGCAACGCCGCGGGCGGGAUGACGGCCUUCGGGUUGGAAACCGCUUUCAGCAGGGGCGAAGCUUGUGGUGACGGUACCUGCAGAAGAAGCACCGGGUAACUACGUG